This is a long non-coding RNA of Cyprinus carpio (common carp), 1149 nucleotides long. RefSeq lists it as uncharacterized. Lineage: Eukaryota; Metazoa; Chordata; Actinopteri; Cypriniformes; Cyprinidae. The transcript is spliced from 3 exons. The record is from RefSeq and is a predicted model, not a curated record.
UUUAAUGUUGAUUUUAAAUCGUUUAAACAGUGGCAGUUGUUAAUUACAUUUUAUCAAUAUAACGGCUUGCUAUGAAGCACACUUGGAUUUUGGAUGGCAUUUUACAUCGAUCUAUCUAAAAUUCUAUUAACUUAAAAAGCACAUUUCUACUAGUCUAUUUGCAUAGUUUUACUACUGGCGAAAUUAGCUCUCAGAGUCAUGACAGACCCACCCCCCCACCUCCCACCGGUUUCACGUACAGCCGUUUACACCCAUGUCAAACACAAACACAACUGGAGGUGCAGUAGAAGAACUCAGUCACUAGGUGGGGAUGGUGGUUCAGUACAACGAGUGAAGAGACGGAAGAAGGGGCUUGAACCGUGUCUAAAAGCACCUGUUGGCACAGAGUUUUUGCACCUGCAGUGGACUGAGUGGCUAGUGUUGAAGUCUAAAGCCAGCAAUAUAUGGUGUGAUUGGGAAAUAAGUUGGAAGUGCGGAAUGACUGAAGAUAUCAACUUUCCGUUUGCACUUUUGGCUGUACUAUUAAAAUGCUUUUGAACGCUGCUGCCAAGACGAAGGUCAAUGACGUCACAUUGUAAUGGGAGGACUGACAUUUAUAGCUGAAUGAAUUGCCGCUGUGGCAUUAUUCCGACACGCCACACUUCCUUCAGCAACACCCAACUGCAGAUCUCCACUGCCUGACGCCCCUUCCCCCAGGCCAUGGAGUUCUUCUGUUGUUUUCCAUGGUGUUAAACAUUCAGACCUGACCGGAUUAAUGAGCAUGUUCUUAAGGAGUGCUGUUUUUCAUAAAAUCUGUGUUUGGGCAAACAGUUGUUUUCAUUGCUCUUUCACAGAGCUGUAGUGGCAUUAGUUUGCAUUAUCUGCGUCAGACUGAGAUUGAAGUAUGUAAUACUUGAGCAAGCUGAUCACUGCAUGCCUCACUGUCAUCAAGUCAUCAAGUCACCAUAGCUACAAACACACAGCAACCAAAUACAGUUGUCACUAUAUGAGUCCUGAGUUCUGUUGUGUCCACACAGAGUUUGCUGUACAGUAGUUCGUGAGUGACAGUUGCAUUCUAACCCAACUCACUUUUCAACAAUGAUUUUACUUUAAAUGUGCAAAUUCUUAUGCAGAACUAAGAACAAGUGGCAGAUGGAAUGAGAUCAAUUC